Molecule: ribosomal RNA, 114 nt
Filed under: Acanthosepion pharaonis
Lineage: Eukaryota; Metazoa; Mollusca; Cephalopoda; Sepiida; Sepiidae
Source: RNAcentral
UUACAGCCAUAUCACGUUGAAACACCGGUUCCUGUGCGAUCAACGAAGUUAAGCAACGUCGAGUUUGAUCAGUACCUAGAUGGGUGACAGCUUGGGAAUACCAGGUACUGUAAG